UACGGAGGAUCCAAGCGUUAUCCGGAAUCAUUGGGUUUAAAGGGUCCGUAGGCGGGAUAAUAAGUCAGUGGUGAAAGUCUGCAGCUCAACUGUAGAACUGCCAUUGAUACUGUUGUCCUUGAGUUGUUAUGAAGUGGUUAGAAUGAGUAGUGUAGCGGUGAAAUGCAUAGAUAUUACUCAGAAUACCGAUUGCGAAGGCAGAUCACUAAUAACCAACUGACGCUGAUGGACGAAAGCGUAGGUAGCGAACAGG
RNAcentral lists this ribosomal RNA (253 nucleotides) under uncultured bacterium. Its description in RNAcentral is "partial 16S ribosomal RNA". It matches the Rfam family "Bacterial small subunit ribosomal RNA", at positions 524 to 776 of the family's 1533-position model. The record is from RNAcentral.